CCCGGACCGGGGUACGAACCUGUGUCCUCUGCAUCGGCAGGUGGACUCUCAACCACUGCGCCACCAGGGAAGCCCGAGAGACUAUUCUUAAUUUCUUGUCAUAGAUGAGGAAACUGAGGUUUUAGGGUUUAAGGGAUUUGCCCAGGAUCAUGCAGCUAGGAAGUGGUACUUAGAAUCUGUAUACAGCUCUUUAUGACACAAGGAGAAGCGAGUUCUUUUCCUACCGUAAGUGGAAAGCUUUCCUGAGAGGCCACAGCACUGCCAAAUGGCCUUUGCAGUCUCUGGGUACAUCUUGCAUUGAUACUUGGCAGAAACCGUGGAAACCAAAGGUGAGCAGUGUGGCCAGAGCCCGGCUGGGGUCUCUAGUUCUCCCUCCUUGUGGGCUGCUGGGCAAGAAGGACACACAUCAGGCUUCAUUUGUUCUUUGCACCACAAUGCAGCCCCAGUGCCUAUAGUGCAGAAGGCAGUUAAUUUUCCCAAUAUUCUCUAAUUUUUGGCAUGGACUGAAUGCAGCCAGAGAGACUAAGCCAGGAUUGUAUCAAGGACUUCUGCCUGUGUCUGUGCGGAGGGAUGUGCAGUUGCCAUAGCAGCAAUCAAUCUGCUAAAUAACUGGUAGCAUAAACUGAUUCAAAGGCAAAAAGACUGAUUUGGGUCAGGGAAUCACACUCUAUAAAAAACAGCGUCUCUGUGACUUCUGAGGGUAUUUUCGCCUUUAUGGUUGGCCCUGGAAAUGCACACUGAGUGAAUGCUCAGAGGCAACAGGGGUGUGUGUGCCUCAAGAGAUGAGCACUGUGCUGCUUCUGGGUAGUUAGAAUAGGGAAUUCCGUGGAACGUGCUGUAAAAUUGCUCUUCUGCUGCAUGGCAAUUCCCAGAGGCUUAGGACCAGUAACUAGCAAAAAGAUCAUGGUAUCCAGUUACUGAGUUCUCCCCAUGUCCUGGGAUGCUUCUCAGUGCGUUUCAGGCAUUUGGUCAACAGUCUUGCAAAGUGGGCUUUAUCACCACCCAUCCACACUUGUGGACACCGUUGUUAAUAUGCCCAGACUUGGGGAACCAGCCAGGGGCGGUGGAUUCAGGAUUCAAUCUGAGAUGUGCUUGAUGCAGCUGCUAGGCCCUCUCCACCCUGCCACACAGCUUCUCUUCCUUGGACUUUUCUCAAAAGUAAAGGACAUUUCUUCUUGGCCACUCACAUAGCAAGAUUGCAGUGUUCUGAUUAUGCUUUGUAUAUUGUGAAAUGUUUGCUAAUUAUUUUUUUUCUUUUUUUUUGGUGAUACGUGGGCCUCUCACCGCUGUGGCCUCUUCUGUUGCGGAGCACAGGCUCCGGACGCGCAGGCUCAGUGGCCAUGGCUCACGGGCCCAGCCGCCCCACGGCAUGUGGGAUCUUCCCGGACCGGGGCACGAACCCGUGUCCCCUGCAUCGGUAGGCGGACUCUCAACCACUGUGCCACCAGGGAAGCCCUACUAAUUAUUUUUAAUCCCACAUGAAAACUAAGUCUUAGGGCAAGAGGACUUGGUAUUCCCAGAGCUAGCGCUGCCCAGUUUGGGUGAUUCAGGUUGUCAUACUGAAGGGAAAAAAAGAGGCUAUUUUUUCUUUUACUCUGGUUUUUAGAACAGUACCAGGUAUCCUCCUAUCUCCAUUUUGGUGUAGCCUAGCUCCUGGGUAAACCUGGGCUAGGAGAAAGCAUUUCUGAACCAUAGUAAGAGGUGGCAUGUUAUAAAGCAGAAAGCAGUGGCUUGAUGUCUGUGUUGAGUUACGGGCUCUUCCACUUUCUAGCUGUGUGAUCUUGGGCAUUGUACUUCUAUUCUUUCAGCCUAGUCUCCACUCUGUAAAAAGGGGAUGAUAGUGAUGGUGAUACCACCUAACUCUCAGUUUCCUAGAAAGCUCUUUGGAGUGAGACAGAGGUAAAAAUUGCCACACAACCUUUAGGAGUAAAGAUGCCUGCGGAUUCCUUUGCAUCAAGGAGUCUAUUCCCUCAUCCAUGAAUCCCAAUUUUUAAUUUUUGUUCUUUUGCUUAGUGGCUCUGAAUUCAAUGUUUGUAGCAUGAAUAAAGUCUAGGAAAGCACUUCAGAGAGUGCCUGUCACAUGGUUAUGGUUUAAUAAAUAUUAGUUUCUUAUUUAAACAAAGCUUAAAAAUUAUUCGAUCAUCCUUCACCUUUAGAUCUAGUUUGUAGGUGCUAGUUAGACUUGGUACUCCAGAGGAAUUUGAGCCCUGGGAGCCCAGAGGAAGGAGAUUAAGCCUUGCCUUUGUGUUUUCUGUUCCCUGUUUCUGACUCCGUGACUGAAAGUCCAGAGGUGAGCCGAGCACUGUGAACUGAAUUCCCGUCUGGAAGUCUCACCUUUCCAGGGUCCGCUGCCACAGAGCUGGCUCAGGAAACUCUGGAAAUGAACUUUAUGCGGUGUGCAAUUUGACUCUGCCGUGCCAGCUGGAAUACACCUUUAGGAGCUGAGUAGCACUGUGCUAGGUACUGAAGACACGGUGGUGGACAAGACAGAGCACCUGCCCGCGUGAAGCUUACAUCCUAGUGCUGGAAGGCAAUGAAAAGGUUUAAAGUGGCGGAUCCUGUCUUAAGACUAGUGACCCCAAGAUAAAAAUUCAGGAGGAAGAAUGGAGAUGACAAGUGGAAAUGGAAGCGGUGUGGGAUGAGACCUGACAUGCCACUACUUGGAGAGUUCUGUUUAAUAACCAAAGAGGGCGCCAAACGUGUAUUGCACCGAGUGACCUGCAGUGCCAGGAUCUCCUGUAGACCUUGGGAUGGUCUUCACCUUGCAGACAGCAGAACCUGGGACUUCUUGGCCUCCAUAAUCACGUGAGCCAAUUCCUAACAGCAGUGAGAAGAGAAGCCUGAGAAGAUGCUCCUGGCCUGAGGCAUUCUCUGUGUUGUGAUAUUUUCCUGUUUCUGUGAUGGCCUCAGUGUAUGAGCAUAUUGACUGAGGACCUUCAUAUGUUGAAAAGGUCAUGUCCCAGGAGAAAGGAAACGAGCCCCAAUGCUCUGCCUUAUCACUUCGAGGAAGAGAUGGCCAGAGAGAAUGAACCUCCUAUUCCUAUCCUGGGGCCUGCUAACCCUGAGAAACCACCUCCUUGGAAAGUGUUCUGGACUUCCUCAGUUUCUCCAAUGCAAACGAAUACUCACCAGUGCCACAGAGACAUAU
Molecule: long non-coding RNA, 3148 nt
Organism: Globicephala melas (long-finned pilot whale)
Lineage: Eukaryota; Metazoa; Chordata; Mammalia; Artiodactyla; Delphinidae
Source: RefSeq, a predicted model, not a curated record